AACCCAUGGUGAGGGCACCUUCUCGAAAGGUCCUUCUAUCUCUCCCAUGCAUUGUAGAGUGUUUAUAAAUUCAUCUACACAAAAUAGGAGAUAUCAUUACGUAAUUUU
Non-coding RNA from Gossypium hirsutum (cotton), 108 nucleotides. The record is from Rfam. NCBI's taxonomy places the organism in Eukaryota, Viridiplantae, Streptophyta, Magnoliopsida, Malvales, Malvaceae.